Vicia villosa (hairy vetch) is the source of this 1567-nucleotide long non-coding RNA. RefSeq lists it as uncharacterized. The transcript has 3 exons. The record is from RefSeq and is a predicted model, not a curated record. Lineage: Eukaryota; Viridiplantae; Streptophyta; Magnoliopsida; Fabales; Fabaceae.
AGGAGAGAAUUGAGAGGAUUUGCGUGAGUAUGAUGAAUCAGUGGUGAGGAGAAAUUGUGUGUGAAAUGGUCUGAGAGAGUUGAAGAAUCGGCGUGAGUAUGAUGAAUCAGUGGUGAGGAGAAAUGGCGUGUGAAAUGGUGGAGAGAGUUGAAGAAUGGCGUGAAGUGUGAGAAUGAAAGUAUUGGAGAUUGGUGAUGAUGUUGAAUGAAGAGAGCCUCAGAAAGAGUUAGUGAACCUGUUAUGUGCCUUUAAGCUUGAUGAAAAAAUCAAUCAGUUAGAAUUUGUUACAAUUCGGUUACAUGUUAGUUGAUUCCCCCUUUUUGUUAUUCCAUUUUUCUUCUGUUUAAUUUUUGUAACCACCGAUCUGUUAUAUCUGAUUUAGUUUGUUAAUAGAACCUUGAACUGGUUUUGAAUUACGCUGGAAUACGGAUUUUGUUCUCUGCAGGGUUCAGCUUGGUUCUUAUGGACCGAACCGGUUUUGCCGUUUGUGGUGUUAAUUUAAUUUGAAGCUGUAAUUUCGGUUUAUCUGUUAAUAUGCAGGGCUCUUUUUUAGUAUUGGCGGUGCAAAAUUGUGCGUGUGUGCAGGGCUAUUGACUUGUUUUAAGUUUGGUUUCGACGCGUGCAGCUUGGUUAUCUUGUGAACCAGGGGCAGUUUAGUGUAGAUUGUGUAUGGGAACCGUUCCUUUUGCGGCAGAAAUCUUUUUUGCUGAGUUGAUGGCUCGGUUUGGUUAAGGCAGAAUUUUGCAUUGAGUUGAUGCGGGAUUUCGGUUCCUGUGCGGAACUUGGUUUAUUCUUUGUGCAGGGCUGCUUUUCUGAACCGAUAUUGUAAUUUCGGUCCGACUUUGCUUGGAUGCAGGUUCGGUUUAUUUUGUGAAUGCGACUCGGUUUUGUCGCAGCUGGUGUUGAAGUUAUACAGGGAUCUUUUCUAUUGUUCCAUCACUUUUGGUGGAUAUAUAAUGGCCAUUGGCAGUUGAAGUUGUUAAGGUGUAGGGUUCAUUUAUGAAUUGAAUUUUUGGGCAUAUGUUUGGAUUGGAAAUUAGGAGAUGUCAAUGUCAUGUAAUUUUCUCUUUUGUAGUUUUGUGUGAUUCUGAAUGUUAAACGGGAAGCUUUGUGAUGAAAGCUUUUCGUGAUGAAUUUGUAAUGGUGUAAUGUAUUGGACAUUGUAUUUUGAUGGAACAUUGAAUGAAUGUAUAAUUCGUAGGUUGUUCAUGGUUCGGUUCUGUAAGAAAACUAAAUUGAAUUGAACCAUUAUAUUUGGGUAUCCAUUAUAUAAGGGUAUCCGAAUUGUACCGAACCGUUUCAAUUUUUUUAGAACCAAACUGAACCAAAAGUUUUGGUUUGGCAUAACGAUUCGAAAUUCCGAACCGUACCAAACAAUUAGAAGACAAUUUUGUAAACCGAAUCAUUUACUAGAGAACCGAACCGUUAUACUUAGUUUUGAAUUUUUUUAAUAAAAAAUUUUAUUUAAAUUUAUUUUUAGCAUUUUUUUAAUAUACUAUUUUACAUAAUUUUUAACUUAAUUUUUUUUAUCUACAUUCAUAAUCAAAAUCCAAAUUAAUUCAAAAGU